Molecule: long non-coding RNA, 1523 nt
Filed under: Trifolium pratense (red clover)
Lineage: Eukaryota; Viridiplantae; Streptophyta; Magnoliopsida; Fabales; Fabaceae
Description: long non-coding RNA (TPRA_LNC013427)
Source: RNAcentral
UUUGAUUAUUAGCAAUUUGUAUUUAUGUUGCAUAUAUACAACUUUAUAUUAUGCUCCCAUCCUUAAAAUCUCAUAUUGUUCAUCAUGAAGAGCACUUACAUUUUAUCCCUAAAUUCUCAACUCAACAAAUUAAUGUGCAUAUGAUAACUGGUUUUUGAAUACAAAUUUUAAUAAAUAAGGCAUAUAGGUCUCUCAUAUACAUAGUUGAAGAUUAGUAAAAGCCUGGUUUGUUCAAAGAUACAUAUUUUAGCAACUAACCUUUGUAUUGUACAUCGUUUGUAUCCAAUAUUGUCGAUCGGUAUUUAGCUGCAUGCAUCAUAACUUCCUAUGACAAAGAAGAAAUGAGUAGUUCAACAAUGAAAAAGAAGAAAAAACUACAGCAAUGUCGUCAAAGAGUAUAGCUGAAAAAAACAGAUUAAAUAUGUCAUUUGAAAAACUUUAAAACACGACGUUCAGAAAAAUGUGUCCAAAUAGGUGUUUUCUCUUUAUAGCUGAAAUAACAAACUUGGUUCCCUCUUGCUCUCAUCUUCUUUUCCUGCAUACUCUACCUAUUAUGUACUUAUGUUAUUCCCUCCCUAGCAGUUCCUAACAUGAUGAAAAAGUUUGUAUUUUGUCAUUUACUUAACCUAAAUACACUAAUCUAACCAAGACAUUGGGCUCAAGUGGUUAAUGAACUCUCCCUAGGACAUAUUGUUCGGGAGAACCCGAGUUCUAUUCCUGGUGGGAAUAAUUCUUGGCUAGACUUUAUUUAUCUCGCAGCUAAACUCUGGAUUACCGGGGCCCCUUCCCCUGAAAACCAGAGGGUUAACUAAGAAAAAAAUACACUAUCCAACCUUUGGUUUACCAAUUGUUUCUAAUAAAGUAGUUAUAUGUUUGGUAAGUUUCAGUGUGAAAAUAUUUGCUUAACAAAAAUUCAAAUAACAGAUGUUUCAAUGUACAUUUUGAAAGUAGAGGAUGUGUUUGCAGCAUUGGUUUCAUGCUUAUAAGUAGAGUUCAAAGUACAGUACUCUGUAGUUUGAUGGAUCAUAAAAUUAGUAAGAUAAAUUAGUAAGAUAAAUUCAUAUCUAUUAUCACCAAUUUAGUUCUCAAACUAUUAAAAUCAACUAAAAGUCCCUAAAAUACCCUCCCAUCCAACUAGUCAGUAUCUUCCAUUAGUAACUCCUAAAAAACAACCAUUUAAUCCCUAAAAUGAUAAUCCUUAAUAUUUUUGUUCCUCGGGAGAAAAAUGGUACUAACCAAUUUUCAAGUAUAAGCAUAAUUGACUAACGGAAGAAAAAAAAUCCAAGAAAAUCAAUAUAAUGCUUAAGUAGUAGUUGGAUUAAACUAAAUUUUGGUAAAACUGUUUCCAUUCAAAAGUGAGUAUAUAAAUAUUGUGUAAAAUGGAUUUGAAAGAAUGAAAUACCUCAAUGACUGAAAUGCUAUCUCAUGAGUUCGACGAUUUGAUUUGAUAGUGUCUGCAAUGAAUUCCUCUGUUUUGAAUGAAACAAACCUAACUGCGAGAGUGAGAGUAUUAAUGUGUUUUC